UGCCAGCCGCCGCGGUAAUACGUGUGGGGCAAGCGUUGUUCGGAAUUACUGGGCUUAAAGGGUGCGUAGGCGGUUUUUUAAGUCAGGGGUGAAAGUCGGUGGCCCAACCAUCGAAUUGCCUUUGAUACUGAUUAACUUGAGUGUGUUAGGGGAGAGCGGAACGUGUAGUGUAGCGGUGAAAUGCGUAGAUAUUACACGGAAGGCCGGAGCCGAAGGGGGCUCUCUGGGACACAACUGACGCUGAGGCACGAAAGCGUGGGGAGCAAACAGGAUUAGAUA
Molecule: ribosomal RNA, 279 nt
Filed under: uncultured bacterium
Lineage: Bacteria
Description: partial 16S ribosomal RNA
Rfam family: Bacterial small subunit ribosomal RNA
Source: RNAcentral